This 497-nucleotide ribosomal RNA is filed under the name uncultured bacterium. Its description in RNAcentral is "partial 16S ribosomal RNA". It matches the Rfam family "Bacterial small subunit ribosomal RNA", at positions 28 to 507 of the family's 1533-position model. The record is from RNAcentral.
GACGAACGCUGGCGGCGUGCCUAACACAUGCAAGUCGAGCGAAAAGAUCAGGAGUUUGCUCCUUUGACGUUAGCGGCGGACGGGUGAGAAACACGUGGAUAACCCACCUAUAUGACUGGGAUAAUUUCGGGACACCGGCGAUAAUCCCGGAUAAUAUAUUGAACCGCAUGGUUCAUUAGUGAAUGACGGUUUUGCUGUCACUUAUAGCUGGUUCCGCGCUGCAUUAGCUAGUUGGUAAGGUAACGGCUUACCAAGGCAACGAUGCGUAGCCGACCUGAGAGGGUGAUCGGCCACACUGGAACUGAGACACGGUCCAGACUCCUACGGGAGGCAGCAGUAGGGAAUCUUCCGCAAUGGGCGAAAGCCUGACGGAGCAACGCCGCGUGAGUGAUGAAGGUCUUCGGAUCGUAAAACUCUGUUAUUAGGGAAGAACAAAUGUGUAAGUAACUAUGCACGUCUUGACGGUACCUAAUCAGAAAGCCACGGCUAACUACGUG